CCUACGUGAGGCAGCAGUGGGGAAUAUUGCACAAUGGGGGAAACCCUGAUGCAGCGACGCCGCGUGAGCGAUGAAGUAUCUCGGUAUGUAAAGCUCUAUCAGCAGGGAAGAAAAUGACGGUACCUGACUAAGAAGCCCCGGCUAACUACGUGCCAGCAGCCGCGGUAAUACGUAGGGGGCAAGCGUUAUCCGGAUUUACUGGGUGUAAAGGGAGCGUAGACGGCGGUGCAAGCCAGGUGUGAAAGCCUGGGGCUCAACCCCGGGACUGCAUUGGAAACUGUGCUGCUGGAGUGUCGGAGAGGCAGGCGGAAUUCCUAGUGUAGCGGUGAAAUGCGUAGAUAUUAGGAGGAACACCAGUGGCGAAGGCGGCCUGCUGGACGAUGACUGACGUUGAGGCUCGAAAGCGUGGGGAGCAAACAGGAUUAGAUACCCCUGUAGUC
This 440-nucleotide ribosomal RNA is filed under the name uncultured bacterium. RNAcentral describes it as "partial 16S ribosomal RNA". It matches the Rfam family "Bacterial small subunit ribosomal RNA", at positions 338 to 795 of the family's 1533-position model. The record is from RNAcentral.